AUUGCAGUCUGCAACUCGACUGCAUGAAGCCGGAAUCGCUAGUAAUCGCGGAUCAGAAUGCCGCGGUGAAUACGUUCCCGGGUCUUGUACACACCGCCCGUCACACCAUGGGAGUCGGAAAUGCCCGAAGUCAGUGACCCAACCGCAAGGAGGGAGCUGCCGAAGGUGGAGCCGGUAACUGGGGUGAAGUCGUAACAAGGUACC
Molecule: ribosomal RNA, 204 nt
Filed under: uncultured bacterium
Lineage: Bacteria
Description: partial 16S ribosomal RNA
Rfam family: Bacterial small subunit ribosomal RNA
Source: RNAcentral